Molecule: RNA transcript, 3051 nt
Organism: Tympanuchus pallidicinctus (lesser prairie-chicken)
Lineage: Eukaryota; Metazoa; Chordata; Aves; Galliformes; Phasianidae
Gene name: maestro heat-like repeat-containing protein family member 2B
Exons: 9
Source: RefSeq, a predicted model, not a curated record
UGCUGGGAGGCGCGGUGCAGAGAAGUGCUUGCCUGCCUCAAGGAGCCCUGCUCCCAUAUGAGCCACUGCGGGACAGGAACAGCCUCUCAAAUGCUGCAGCAGAGCAGCUGUACGCCUUUGUGGUGCUGCCUGUUCCUCUCUGUCCCAAGCCCGGGGGGGGCCUUAGGAGAAGAGAGGCAGGCGGCUUUAAUGGAGGGAAUGCUGGGGCAGCUGGGAGAGAGACUGUUCUUGCAGACACUCUCCCCAGAAGCCUGCAGCAACUUGGGAGCGAGGGAAGAGGCAGAGGGCAAGGGAACUUUGGCUUCUCCUGUUCUCCAACAGUUCCUGAGGGCGUCGCUGGACACCAUCAGUGAUGAGGCCUGGAUCGAGGCCCUGAGCUGCGAGCUGAGCCGGUGGCUGAGCAGUUCUCCCAGCAGCUCUGGAGAAAAGGCUUUCCUGUACAAGACUCUGGGGACAGCACUGGGAGCUUGUAAGGGAGUCCUCCAUGUCCAAGAGAAGCUGCUGCAGCACUUGGAGGAAGCAAAUGCGGAGGAGCCAUCGGAGACCCAGGCAAGGACCGGCCCGGUCACCGUGGUUGGCCGCACCAGUAGGUUCAGGCCUGCGCCAACUGCUCUUUUGUGCAGGGAAUAAUUUCUCUUCUCAGCCAUGCUGCUGAGGGCAACUUCCACCCAGUCCUGGACACACUCACCGUGUUUGCAUCCAGGCUGUGCAAAGGCUGGAAUGCGAGGAUUUCCAGGCGCAAGAAGGUGAAGUGUUACGGGUUUCUAUCUUGGCAUUCUUCUGCCUUAUUUUCACAGCAGCUCCUGCCUUGGGAGCCCAGGUGCAUCGCGGGGCACUGGGGGCCGUGGAGCAAGUGACUCAAGGCAUUUCUCCCCACACAGAUGGACCUGGACAGCAUGAGAGCUCAUGCCACACGCAGCGCUCUCAUGCUCGCUCAUGGCAGCUUGGCACUGCGUGCCUCCAAGGAACAGCUGCUUGUCCACCUGGAGGGAGACAUCGUGGGCAACAUCCUGAUGCUCUACAGCUGCAGCUGCCAGGUGAGAACUUGAAGUGUGCCAGGGUGUCUGAGCACCCGAUGCAGCCCCUCCAAAUGGGGGGAUGCUGAGAUGGGCCUUCUCUUUUCAAAGGUCCCUUGGGGGAUCAUCUGUGCCAAGAUGAAGAUCCAAGCUUUCCCUUAGCAUUGCCCACGUGUCCCCCUUGCAGCCCUCGGCCCUUCCCGCAAUUCAGAGAAUGUUCUUCUCUCUUGGGCCUCAGGACUUGCAGAACAACCUUGCGCUGGUACAGAGCAUCACCAGCUUCAGCUCAGCCUUGCAAGCUGUGGAUGACUCUGCCUGCUUUAACUCUUCCUUCAAGGGCAAGCUUCUGGAGAUCCUGAUGGACUUGCUGAAGAAGUACUACUCAGGAAUCCCUGUCUCCCCAGUGCCCCUCAAGUUGGUUCUGGCCCUGGAGCAGUUGAGGUAAGGUCUAGGGUUGCAAGGCAGGAUAGUGGUCCCCAUUUUGGAUAGCUGCCAAAGGCCUGGAGGGGGUGGGGGGGGAGGAGCUGUAUCUACAGGAGAGAUAGCUGGGCUGUUGUGCCCAGAAAAGCUGAGAUUCUGGGCAGGGAGAAAGGCCCUGGUGCUUCUGUUCCCUUGUAGGGAAGAGAAGGGAGAUAUGGGGUCUCCUUCCCUUCAGAGCAGGAGUAGUUCACUGCUUUCUCCUUUUUUCCUCCUGUCAGCAAGCUGAAGCCCUCUUUAGAAAGCAAGGAUACGCGUGAAAUAUUGGUUCUGUGCUGCAAGAACAUUGUGAUGCACCCUUCGGCAGAGAUGAUGCUGAAGAUCAGAAAGUCACAGCAAGCAGCUCAGUACCUGCAGCUUCAGCAAACAUCACUGAAAUCUUUGGGCCAGCUUAUGGCAGUUCUGCUCAAGACAGAGCCCACCCGUGGCUUUUUCCAGAACACAGUCCAUGUCCUGCAGAGAUCUAUGACAUCAGACAAUGUGUGGGAGCGCAAGAGGGCCCUGCAGACCUGCUCCCAGCUGCUGACUGUUUGUGAAGAGUUUCAAAUGAGUAAAGAGCCCCACCACGUGCCCUCUGCUCCCUCCCCUGUGCCCCUGAGCUGGAAGGCGAGCUCCACUCAGCUGUGCAUGCUGUGUCACAGUGUGGGGAAGGCACAGGCAGGAGAAGCUGGGGCCACCUACAGCUUUGUUCCUGCCUCUCACCCCUGCAGAGAGGAGAUGCCUAGGAGCACUUUGGCUCCUUGGUGGGAUUGCUGGCACCUCUGACCUGUGACCCCAUGCCCACAUCCCACCAGUUGGCUGUCACCUGCCUCAGCUCCCUUCUCUGAAUCCAAGAUCAUGUGCAGAAACUUCCCUCUAGAACGCACCGUUGAUUUCAUGAUGGCCAUCAAGGAGACCUUCAGGAGAGCCAAAGGAGUGCGUGUGCGUGCUGCUGGGAAGUGGAUGACCACCUUUCUGCAGAUGUACAGAAAAGACAUCUGUUGGGAUGUGUCUCCAAUCCUCUACAUCCUGCACAGCUACACAUCAUCUGUGCAGCAGAGUACAUCCAUGCCCUUCCUGUGCCAGGCAGUGGUCAUCCUCACAAACUGUCACACAGAGGUCAUGAUUGACAACUUCUUCCAGCUGCAUGGGCCCACAGACAGGGAGACAUGGAGGAGAAUAAGAGAGUCUUCACUUCAACGAUAGAGCUGGAGGCAAGGAGGGGAAAAGCAAGGCAAGGAUCACUAGACUUCCUGAGGAGUCUAUUCCUACAGUCCAGUCCUGAGAGCCAUCCCAUCGUGUCUCAGUGAUGCUAAUGACAUCAUAGCCCUGUAGGUAUAUGCAUGCCUGCAACUCCUCUUGCUUGUUCCCCUUGCUUCAUGCAUUAGUAUGCAGACAUUUGAGUUGAGCUCCCACUAUGGCUGAUUUACCAACUUGAAUUCCCUUAUCCUGCACGUUAGGUGCUGUCUAAUGGCCUGUGUGACUUAGUAUGUACAACUUAGAGUACUCAAACUACAAAAAAUAUUCUAAUCCUAGUCUUUGCUACAGUAAGCCUUUCAAAGGUGUGAGAUAGAAUAAC